Molecule: long non-coding RNA, 804 nt
Organism: Leptopilina heterotoma
Lineage: Eukaryota; Metazoa; Arthropoda; Insecta; Hymenoptera; Figitidae
Exons: 2
Source: RefSeq, a predicted model, not a curated record
GGAGAAGUAGUUCAUACCAUGUAUGUCUGACUGACGGUGCCCGGAAAGAAGGUAAAGUGGGGGAAGGGUCCGGGAGCGAGAUUUCGACGCCGAGCAGGUAUAUGGGAGUGAGUUGGCGGCGAAAAGUACACGGAGAGAAAGUUUACCUGUCAAACACAGUGUCAUCACAUUAAAAUACGAUGAACUCUUAUUAUAUUUUCAUGAACAAGUAGGAAUCUGAAAUGUCGAUGACUGUCACUGAUUUCGUUAGUGGCGCCACUAUUUCUGACACUGUCCGUCAUAGAAAAUUUGAAUGUACUUCUACAAUUAAAUAUACUAUGUCGAUCAUAUCGUUUUUCGAAGUAUACAUAGAUUUUUCUGUUGACAGUGAUUUGAGAUAGAGUUGUUCGAAUGAAUAGAUUUUUUAUUUUGUAUAAUAAAUAAAAUCUAAAGUUUUUCUCGUUCCUGUUUUUAUUGCGUGUAUUGAAAUUUGUUAUCUUGUGUCUAUAAAGUGUUUUUAUUAAAUAAUAUGGACGAUUACGUAAAAGAAAAUUUAAGAAAUUGGAAUUUUCCAAUGCUUCAACAAGUAUUCCGAUUUCACAGUAUUGACAAGAAAAGAUUAGUCAUUCUCAUCUUCUUCAGUUGGAAAUUUUGAUUGAAGAGCAUCACGCAUUGUACGUUAAAUUAUUUGGAAAAUUAAAACCAAAAUUUCACUUUAUGCUCCAUUAUAAACGACUAAUAUUACAAAAUGGACCACUUAUCAAGACAUCGUCAAUGCGUUUUGAAUCCAAACACAGAGAAAUAAAAACAAUUUUAAAUGCCAUU